RNAcentral lists this ribosomal RNA (303 nucleotides) under uncultured fungus. Its description in RNAcentral is "eukaryotic LSU rRNA". Lineage: Eukaryota; Fungi. The record is from RNAcentral.
AACGCACCUUGCGCUCCUGGGCUAUUCCUAGGAGCAUGCCUGUUUGAGUGUCGUGAAAUCAUCAACCCCAGUUGGAUUUGAAAUUUGACUGGUGGCUUGGACUUGGGGGUUUGCUGGCCGUUUUGAUUCGGUCUGGCUCCCCUUGAAUGUAUUAGCUCGAACCUUUUGUGGAUCAGCUUAUCGGUGUGAUAAAAUGUCUACGCCGUUACUGUGAAGCAUAUUAUUCGGCUUCCAAUCGUCCUUCACGGGACAAUAACCUUGACCUUUGACCUCAAAUCAGGUAGGAUUACCCGCUGAACUUAA